UAGGGAAUCUUCCGCAAUGGGCGAAAGCCUGACGGAGCAACGCCGCGUGAGUGAUGAAGGUCUUCGGAUCGUAAAACUCUGUUAUUAGGGAAGAACAAAUGUGUAAGUAACUAUGCACGUCUUGCCGGUACCUAAUCAGAAAGCCACGUCUAACUACGUGCCAGCAGCCGCGGUAAUACGUAGGUGGCAAGCGUUAUCCGGAAUUAUUGGGCGUAAAGCGCGCGUAGGCGGUUUUUUAAGUCUGAUGUGAAAGCCCACGGCUCAACCGUGGAGGGUCAUUGGAAACUGGAAAACUGGAAUGAAGAAGAGGAAAGUGGAAUUCCAUGUGUAGCGGUGAAAUGCGCAGAGAUAUGGAGGAACACCAGUGGCGAAGGCGACUUUCUGGUCUGUAACUGACGCUGAUGUGCGAAAGCGUGGGGAUCAAACAGG
RNAcentral lists this ribosomal RNA (429 nucleotides) under Actinomycetes bacterium. RNAcentral's name for it is "Actinobacteria bacterium partial 16S ribosomal RNA". It matches the Rfam family "Bacterial small subunit ribosomal RNA", at positions 355 to 776 of the family's 1533-position model. Lineage: Bacteria; Bacillati; Actinomycetota; Actinomycetes. The record is from RNAcentral.